GAAAUAAGAGACUCAAAAUUAAGCUUCUAACUUAAAUUUUAAGCAGUGAAACUCUGUUUAUAUUUCU
RNAcentral lists this transfer RNA (67 nucleotides) under Erotylidae sp. BMNH 1274392. RNAcentral describes it as "tRNA-Ser". The record is from RNAcentral. Lineage: Eukaryota; Metazoa; Arthropoda; Insecta; Coleoptera; Erotylidae.